AAACUCGGUUCCAUCUCAAUUGUCUUAUCCUUGCUGCUGUUAGCAUUUUCCUUCAAGCCAUGCAGUUGAUUAACAAAUCAAUUAAAACACAGCUCAUUAAAGGUGCCAUCACAGGUGGACAAGGUGGUGAAGAAGAUGUUUUGCCCAGGAGUUGGGAUGUUCUCUUGCAAUGUGUAAUUGUUGGGGUAAUGUGUGGAGUUUUGGACGUCCUGUAUGGGACAGACGUGGUUAAACUGGAAGGGAUUUACGAGAGUGCUGUGAGGACUAGAGGGCCUGUGUUGUAGGCCCAGACUAGGCCUUUAUUCCUUGGGUCAUAGCAAAAUGAGAAGUGACCUGAUAGAAGAGCUUAAGGUUAUGAGAGACAUUGAAAAGGUGGGUGGUAACCGGGGUAGAAAAAUCCCAAACCAGGGACAAUAAGUUAGAGUGAGAGAGGAAAGUUUUAGAAGGGAAUGAGGGGCAACUGUUUCAAGUAGUUGGUGGUGAGUAUGGGGAGCGAGCUGCCAGAGGAAGUGGUUGAGAGUAAUAUGGAUGGGUACGUGGAGGGGUUUGGAGCAGGGGGUCCCAAACCUGGGGUGCCAGACCCCUUGGUUAAUGGCAAGGCUCCAUUGCAUGAAAAGGUUGGGAACCCGUGGUUUCGAGGGAUAUGCGCUGAAUGCAGGAAAUUGGGACUGGCUGGCUGGGUACCAUGGGUCAGCAUGGACUGGUUGGGCUGAAGGGCUUGUAUCCUGUUGUUUAUUCUGUUGUUGAGCUUUUCUUCAUCAUUACAUGUAUUCAGGUGGCAAUUCCAGUACUUUAGGUUUUGAUGGGUUGGCACUGACAAUCCCAGGAACACUCUGCAUUAGGAUGAACCUACUGACACUCUGUGAGAAGUUUUAACCACAUUUAUUCAGGUCGACCUUUAACCCCUCUUUUAGUUUGGACGAGAGAAGGGUGAUCGAGAUUAACAUGUUAGGAGGUAAAUCAGGGCAUAGAUUUUUAGCAUGAAGUAAAAGAUUUGGAGAGAGUCUGAAGGAACAAAAUUGCUGGUAGCUGGCAUUAGGAAAGUGGAUCGUUGAUAGCUGGUAUGGACAUGGUAUUUUUAUACAACACACACAAAAUGCUGGAGGAACUUGGCAAGUCAGGCAGCAUCUAUGGAAAUGAAUAAACAGUCAACAUUUCAGCCCGAGGCCCUUCACAGGACUGGAAAGGAAGGGAGGAGAAGCUGGAAUAAGCAGGGAAGGGGUACAAGCUCUCGUGAUAGGUGAGGGUGAAGUUAGGUUGGUGGGGGACAGGGAAUGAAGUAAAAGCUGGGAGUUGAUUGGCAGAAGAGAUAAAUGUCUGAAGAAAUCUGGAGAAAACAGUGGACCAUGUAAGAAAGAGAAGGAGGAGGGACAGCAGAGGAAGGUGAGAGAAAAGAAGCGGUAAGAAGGAAGCCAAAAUGGGGGAGGGAGGGAAUUUACCAGAGGUUAGAGCAAUUGAUGUUCAUGCCAUCGGGUUAGAGGCUAUCCAGAUGGAAUAUGAAGUGUUUCACCUCCAACCUGAGAGUGUCAGUAGCAGAGGCCAUGGGCUGACAUGGCGGAAUGGGAAUGGGAAGUAGAAUUAAAAUGUGUGGCCACAGGGAGACGCUGCCUGUUGUGGCAGACAGAGCUAAAGUGGUCCGCGAGCCUGAGCGUUUCUGUGCUCUAAGCCUCUGUUGUUCUGUAACAGUAACAACGAUCUGAUGCACCUUUGGCAAUGAAGAGUUCAUCGAUUGCUGUAAUUGCCCCACUCAGCAACCUUACAAAGGCAGGUUAGCCCGACAGAUGCUCUCUAAGACCAUAAGGUAUAGAAGCAGAAUUCGGCCAUUUGGGACAUGGAGUCUGCUCCGCCAUUUCAUCGUAACUGAGCCAUUUCUCUCUCAGCUCCUCCCCAUGUCCCUUCAUGCCCUGACUAAUCAAGAAUCUAUCAACCUUUACCUUAAGUAUACCCAAUGACUUUCCCUCCAUAGCCACUUGUAGCAACUAAUUCCACAGAUUCACCACACUCUGGCUAAAGAAAUUCCUCCUCAUCUCUAUUCUAAGUUGAUGUCCCUCUGAUCUAAGGCUGUGCCCUCUAGUCUUAGACUCCCCUGCCAUUCUCUCCAAGUCCACUCAGUCGAGGCCUUUCACCAUUCGAUAGGUUUCAAUGGGGUCGCUCCUCAUUCUUCUGAAUUACAGUGAGUCGAGCCCGGGAGCUGGCUUCUUUUCCCUGCUGUUCCCCAACUGCACAGGCCCUGCUGAUUGAUUCUAGAGUAUUAACCAUAACUCCGCUCUCAUCGGGGGGUAAUAGUUCACCUUUGAUCAUCUCUGCACAGGAAAUAGAGCAGACCCCGUGGGAAAAUCAUGUCUGAAGUUUGAUGGAGGAGGUCCUCAUCCGUGCUGGGACGGGGGUCGGGGAGGGAAGACCAACAUUUAUUAUUGUAAAAGCGGAAAGUGAUAACAAUCCCGAAGAAUUUGAUCCUUCAGCUGGAUCCUAUAAGGUUGGCUGCAUCUUUGCAUGUUGCAGAUGGAUCUGUGAGUCAAUUCAGGUUGAACGCAGCUCAUUUCAACCUGAGACAUUCAAAGCAGCACACUUUGAGAGGUUGAUGCAGGAUGAGAGGUGACUUAAUUAGCUUUCUUGUUGCAUGUACUACGUCGACACAUUCAGUGAAAUGAGUUUUUUGCAUCAAAUCAAAUCAGUGAGGGCUGUGCUCUGUAGCCCACACAUGUUGCCGUUUUCUGACGCCAACUUAGUAUGCCUCCUCAACUGCCUGCGGCAAUGAAUUCCACAGAUUCACCACUCUCUGCUAAAGGAAUUCCUCUUCAUCUACUUUCUAAAACAUCUCCAUUCUAAAUGGAUGUCACUCUGUACUGAGGCUGUGGCCUCUGGUCCUAGGCUCAUCCACCAUUGGAAACAUCCUCUCCACAUCCACUCUAUUGAGGCCCUUCGCCAUUUGAUAGGUUUCAAUGAGGUCGCCCCUCAUUCUUCUGAAUUCCAAUGAGUACAGGCCCAGACCCAUCAAAUGCUCUUCAUAUAUCAAGCCAUUCAACCCUGGAAUCAUUUUCAUGAGCCUCCUUUAAACCCUCUCCAAUAUCAGCACAUCUUUUCUUAGACAAGGAGCCCAAGACUAUUCACAAUACUCCAAGUGAGGCCUCACCAGUGCUUUAUAAAGCCUGAACACUACAUCCUUGCUUUUAUAUUCUAAUUCUCUGGAAAUGAAUGUUCACGUUGUCUUCCUCACCACCGAUUGAACCUGUAAACCUUUAGGGGAGUGGGAGGAUGUCAGUGGUAGAUUCUGUACGCUGUGUAACAGGUGCCUGGAGUGACCUGCCAGGGAGGCUGACACAAUAGAAUCAGAAUCAGACUUUAAUCGCCAAGUACCUGUGCACAUACAAGGAAUUUACUUCCGGCAGAUGUUGUCUCUCUGCUCAUAAUAAUAAUGAUAAAUAUAAAUGAAAAUAUAGAUUAUGCAUACAAGUAAUAGUUAGCCGACAGUUAACCGGCAGUUAACUGUUCAGCAAAGUGACCGCAGUAGGGAAAAAACUUCUUCAGUGCCUACUAGUCUUAGUCUGGAGGGAUCUGAAGCGCCUACCAGAUGGAAGCAGUUCAAACAAUCCGUGCGCAGGAUGGGAGGAGUCCUUUAUGAUGUUCCCUGCCCUCUUCUUCAACCUGGAAGAGUACAGGUCCACAAUAGAGGGCAGGGAGGCCCCGCAUAGGCCCCCAUAGGGGCCUGUAGGGGUCUCUUGGGUUAUGGGUUCUGUGGGAGGAAAGGACCUGGACUAAGUCAAUGGGGACGUCAGUGUGUGUGGGUGCAGGUGAGGAACGUCAGUGUUAGGGUACAGGUGAGGGACGCCAGUGUGUGUGUGUGUACAGGUGAGAACAUCAGUGUGUGUGUGUGUACAGGUGAGAACAUCAGUGUGUGUGUGUGUACAGGUGAGAACAUCAGUGUGUGUGUGUACAGGUGAGGGACGUCAGUGUGUGCGGGUACAGGUGUGGGACGUCCGUGUGUGGGUGCAGGUGAGGGACGUCAGUGUGUGGGUGCAGGUGAGGGACGUCAGUGUGUGUGGGUACAGGUGAGGGAAGUCAGUGUGUGUGGGUGCAGGUGAAGGACGUCAGUGUGUGUGUGUGUGUGUACAGGUGAGAACAUCAGUGUGUGUGUGUACAGGUGAGGGACGUCAGUGUGUGUGGGUAUAGGUGAGGGACGUCAAUGUGUGGGUACAGGUGAGGGACGUCAAUGUGUGGGUACAGGUGAGGGACGUCAAUGUGUGGGUACAGGUGUGGGACGUCAGUGUGUGCGUACAGGUGAGGGACGUCAGUGUGUGUGGGUACAGGUGAGGGACGUCAGUGUGUGGGUACAGGUGAGGGACGUCAGCGUGUGUGUAUACAGGUGAGGGACGUCAGCGUGUGUGUAUACAGGUGAGGGACGUCAUUGUGUGCGGGUACAGGUGUGGGACGUCAGUGUGUGGGUACAGGUGUGGGAUGUCAGUGUGUGUGUGUACAGGUGGGAACGUCAGUGUGUGUGUUUGUAUACAGGUGAGGAACGUCAGUGUGUGGGUAUACAGGUGAGGAACAUCAGUGUGUGUAUGUAUACAGGUGAGGAACGUCAGUGUGUGUGUGUAUACAGGUGAGGAACGUCAGUGUGUGUGUGUGUACAGGUGAGAUCAGUGUGUGUGUACAGGUGAGGAACAUCAGUAUGUGGGUACAGGUGAGGAACGUCAGUGUGUGUGUAUACAGGUGAUGAACGUCAGUGUGUGUGGGUACAGGUGAGAACGUCAGUGUGUGUGUGUGUGUAUACAGGUGUGGAGAGUCAGUGUGUGUGUGUAUACAGGUGAGCGUCAAUGUGUGUGGGUACAGGUGAGGGACGUCAGUGUGUGUGGGUGCAGGUGAGGAAUAUCAGUGUGUGUGGGUACAGGUGAGGAACAGAGUGUGUGUGGGUACAGGUGAGGAACGUCAAUGUAUGGGUACAGGUGAGGGACGUCAGUGUGUGUGGGUGCAGGUGAGGAACAUCAGUGUGUGUGGGUACAGGUGAGGAACAGAGUGUGUGUGGGUACAGGUGAGGAACAUCAGUGUGGGUGUUUGUAUACAGGUGAGGAACAUCAGUGUGUGUAUGUAUACAGGUGAGAAACGUCAGUGUGUGUGUGUGUGUGUGUGUACAGGUGAGAACAUCAGUGUGUGUGUAUACAGGUGAGGAACGUCAGUGUGUGUGUGUAUACAGGUGAGGAACGUCAAUGUAUGGGUACAGGUGAGGGAUGUCAGUGUGUGUGGGUACAGGUUAGGGACGUCAGUGUGUGUGGGUACAGGUGAGAACGUCAGUGUGUGUGGGUACAGGUGAGGAACGUCUGUGUGUGUGUGUGUCUGUGUGUGUGUGUGCGUGUGUGUGUGUGUAUACCGGUGAGGAGGAACGUCAGUGCGUGUGUGUGUACAGGUGAGAACGUCAGUGUGUGUGUGUGUGGGUAUACAGGUGAGGAACGUCAGUGUGUGUGUGUAUACAGGUGAGAAACGUCAGUGUGUGAGUACAGGUGAGGAACGUCAGUGUGUGUGGGUACUGGUUAGGGACGUCAGUGUGUGGGUACAGGUGAGGAACGUCACUGUGUGGGUACAGGUGAGGAACGUCAGUGUGUGGGUACAGGUGAGGGACGUCAGUGUGUGUGGGUACAGGUGAGGAACGUGUGUGUGUGUGUGUGUGUGUGUGUGUGUGUGUAUACCAGUGAGGAGGAACGUCAGUGCGUGUGUGUGUACAGGUGAGAACGUCAGUGUGUGUGUGUGGGUAUACAGGUGAGGAACGUCAGUGUGUGUGUGUAUACAGGUGAGAAACGUCAGUGUGUGAGUACAGGUGAGGAACGUCACUGUGUGGGUACAGGUGAGGAACGUCAGUGUGUGGGUCUGGUGAGGAACAGAAUGUUUGGGUACUGGUGAGGAACGUCAGUGUGUGUGUGUACAGGUGAGGAACAUCAGUGUGUGGGUACAGGUGUGGAACGUCUGUGUGUGUGUAUACAGGUGAGGAACGUCAGUGUGUGUGUAUAUAGGUGAGGAACGUCAGUGUGUGUGGGUACAGGUGAGAACGUCAGUGUGUGUGUGUAUACAGGUGAGGAACGUCAGUGUGUGGGUACAGGUGAGGGACGCCAGUGUGUUUGGGUACAGGUGAAGGACGUCAGUGUGUGGGUUCAGGUGAGGGACGUCAGUGUGUGGGUACAGGUGUGGGACGUCAGUGUAUGCGUACAGGUGAGGGACGUCAGUGUGUGUGUGUGUAUACAGGUGAGGAACAUCAGUGUAUGUGGGUACACGUGAGGGACGUCAGUGUGUGUGGGUACAGGUGAGGGACGUCAGUGUGUGUGGGUACAGGUGAGGGACGUCAGUGUGUGUGUAUACAGAUGAGGGACGUCAGUGUGUGUGGGUACAGGUGAGGAAUGUCAGUGUGUGUGGGUACAGGUGAGGGAUGUCAGUCUGUGUGGGUACAGGUGAGUGACGUCAGUGUGUGGGUUCAGGUGAGGGACUUCAGUGUAUGUGGGUACAGGUGAGGGAAGUCAGUGUGUGUGUGUGUAUACCGGUGAGGAAAGUCAGUGUGUGGGUACAGGUGAGGAACAUCAGUGUGUGGGUACAGGUGAGGAACGUCACUGGGUACAGGUGAGGAACGUCAGUGUGUGGGUCUGGUGAGGAACAGAAUGUUUGGGUACUGGUGAGGAACGUCAGUGUGUGUGUAUACAGGUGAGGAACGUCAGUGUGUGUGUGUGUGUGUGUACAGGUGAGGAACAUCAGUGUGUGGGUACAGGUGAGGAACGUCAGUGUGUGUGUGUGUGUAUAUACAGGUGAGGAACGUCUGUGUGUGUGUAUACCGGUGAGGAGGAACGUCAGUGUGUGUGUGUGUAUACAGGUGAGAACGUCAGUGUGUGUGUGUGUGUAUACAGGUGAGGAACGUCAGUGUGUGUGUAUAUAGGUGAGGAACGUCAGUGUGUGUGGGUACAGGUGAGAAUGUCAGUGUGUGUGUGUGUGUGUGUGUGUACAGGUGAGGAACAUCAGUGUGUGGGUACAGGUGAGGAACGUCAGUGUGUGUGUGUGUGUGUGUGUGUAUACAGGUGAGGAACGUGUGUGUGUGUGUGUGUAUACCGGUGAGGAGGAACGUCAGUGUGUGUGUGUGUAUACAGGUGAGGAACGUCAGUGUGUGUGUAUAUAGGUGAGGAACGUCAGUGUGUGUGGGUACAGGUGAGAAUGUCAGUGUGUGUGUGUACAGGUGAGGAACGUCAGUGUGUGUCAGUACAGGUGAGAACGUCAGUGUGUGUGUACAGGUGAGGAACGUCAGUGUGUGUGUGUAUACAGGUGUGGAGAGUCAGUGUGUGUGUGUAUACAGGUGAGGAGCGUCAAUGUGUGGGUACAGGUGAGGGACGUCAGUGUGUGUGGGUACAGGUGAGGAACAGAGUGUGUGUGGGUACAGGUGAGGGACGUCAGUGUGUGUGGGUACAGGUGAGGGACGUCAGUGUGUGUGGGUACAGGUGAGGAACGUCUGUGUGGGUACAGGUGAGGAACAUCAGUGUGUGUGUGUAUACAGGUGAGGGACGUCAGUGUGUGUGGGUACAGGUGAGGAACGUGUGUGUGUGUGUGUGUGUGUGUGUGUGUAUACCGGUGAGGAGGAACGUCAGUGCGUGUGUGUGUACAGGUGAGAACAUCAGUGUGUGUGUGUGGGUAUACAGGUGAGGAACGUCAGUGUGUGUGUGUAUACAGGUGAGAAACGUCAGUGUGUGAGUACAGGUGAGGAACGUCACUGUGUGGGUACAGGUGAGGAACGUCAGUGUGUGGGUCUGGUGAGGAACAGAAUGUUUGGGUACUGGUGAGGAACGUCAGUGUGUGUGUGUGUGUAUACAGGUGAGGAACGUGUGUGUGUGUGUGUGUAUACCGGUGAGGAGGAACGUCAGUGUGUGUGUGUGUAUACAGGUGAGAACGUCAGUGUGUGUGUGUGUAUACAGGUGAGGAACGUCAGUGUGUGUGUAUAUAGGUGAGGAACGUCAGUGUGUGUGGGUACAGGUGAGAAUGUCAGUGUGUGUGUGUACAGGUGAGGAACGUCAGUGUGUGUCAGUACAGGUGAGAACGUCAGUGUGUGUGUACAGGUGAGGAACGUCAGUGUGUGUGUGUAUACAGGUGUGGAGAGUCAGUGUGUGUGUGUAUACAGGUGAGGAGCGUCAAUGUGUGGGUACAGGUGAGGGACGUCAGUGUGUGUGGGUACAGGUGAGGAACAGAGUGUGUGUGGGUACAGGUGAGGGACGUCAGUGUGUGUGGGUACAGGUGAGGAACGUCUGUGUGGGUACAGGUGAGGGACGUCAGUGUGUGUGGGUACAGGUGAGGAACGUCUGUGUGGGUACAGGUGAGGAACAUCAGUGUGUGUGUGUAUACAGGUGAGGGACGUCAGUGUGUGUGGGUACAGGUGAGGAACGUGUGUGUGUGUGUGUGUGUGUGUAUACCGGUGAGGAGGAACGUCAGUGCGUGUGUGUGUACAGAUGAGAACGUCCGUGUGUGUGUGUGGGUAUACAGGUGAGGAACGUCAGUGUGUGUGUGUACAGGUGAGGGACGUCAGUGUGUGUGGGUUCAGGUGAGGGACUUCAGUAUGUGGGUACAGGUGAGGGACGUCAGUGUGUGUGUGUAUACAGGUGAGGAACGUCAAUGUGUGGGUACAGGUGAGGGACAUCAGUGUGUGUGGGUGCAGGUGAGGGACGUCAGUGUGUGUGGGUGCAGGUGAGGAACGUCAGUGUGUGGGUACAGGUGAGGGACACCAGUGUGUGUGUGUGUACAGGUGAGAACAUCAGUGUGUGUGUGUACAGGUGAGAACAUCAGUGUGUGUGUGUACAGGUGAGGAACGUCAGUGUGUGUGUAUACAGGUGACGGACGUCAGUGUGUGGGUGUACAGGAGAGGGAUGUCGGUGUGUGUAUACAGGUGAGGGACGUCAGUGUGUGUGGGUACAGGUGAGGGACGUCAGUGUGUGGGUACAGGUGAGGGACGUCAGUGUGUGGGUGCAGGUGAAGGACGUCAGUGUGUGGGUACUAGUGAGGGACGUCAUUGUGUGUGCGUACAGCUGAGGGACGUCAGUGUGUGUGGGUACAGGUGAGGAACGUCAGUGUGUGUGUGUGUGUGUGUACCAGUGAGGAACGUCAGUGCGUGUGUGUGUGUACAGGUGAGAACGUCAGUGUGUGUGUGUGGGUAUACAGGUGAGGAACGUCAGUGUGUGUGUGUAUACAGGUGAGAAACGUCAGUGUGUGAGUACAGGUGAGGAACGUCAGUGUGUGUGGGUACAGGUGAGGAACGUCACUGUGUGGGUCUGGUGAGGAACAGAAUGUUUGGGUACUGGUGAGGAACAUCAGUGUGUGUGUGUGUAUACAGGUGAGGAACGUCAGUGUGUAUGUAUACAGGUGAGGAACGUCAGUGUGUGUGGGUACAGGUGAGAACGUCAGUGUGUGUGUGUAUAUACAGGUGAGGAACGUCAGUGUGUGUGUGUGUACAGGUGAGAACAUCAGUGUGUGUGUGUACAGGUGAGGAACGUCAGUGUGUGUGUGUAUACAGGUGAGGAACGUCAAUGUGUGGGUACAGGUGAGGGAUGUCAGUGUGUGUGGGUGCAGGUGAGGAACAUCAGUGUGUGGGUACAGGUGAGGGACGCCAGUGUGUGUGUGUACAGGUGAGGGACGUCAGUGUGUGGGUACAGGUGAGGGACGUCAGUGUGUGUGGGUACAGGUGAGGGACGUCAGUGUGUGGGUGCAGGUGAAGGACGUCAGUGUGUGGGUACAGGUGAGGAACGUCAGUGUGUGGGUGUACAGGUGAGGGACGUCAGUGUGUGCGGGUACAGGUGCGGGAGGUCCGUGUGUAGGUUCAGGUGAGGGAUGUCAGUGUGUUUGGGUAUGGGUGAGGGACUUCAGUGUGUGGGUGCGGGUGAAGGACGUCAGUGUGUGUAUACAGGUGAGAAACGUCAGUGUGUGAGUACAGGUGAGGAACGUCAGUGUGUGGGUCUGGAGAGGAACAGAAUGUUUGGGUACUGGUGAGGAACAUCAGUGUGUGUGUGUAUACAGGUGAGGAACGUCAGUGUGUAUGUAUACAGGUGAGGAACGUCAGUGUGUGUGGGUACAGGUGAGAACGUCAGUGUGUGUGUGUAUAUACAGGUGUGGAACGUCAGUGUGUGUGUGUGUACAGGUGAGAACAUCAGUGUGUGUGUGUACAGGUGAGGAACGUCAGUGUGUGUGUGUAUACAGGUGAGGAACGUCAAUGUGUGGGUACAGGUGAGGGACGUCAGUGUGUGUGGGUGCAGGUGAGGAACGUCAGUGUGUGUGUAUAUAGGUGAGGAACGUCAGUGUGUGUGGGUACAGGUGAGAAUGUCAGUGUGUGUGUGUACAGGUGAGGAACGUCAGUGUGUGUCAGUACAGGUGAGAACGUCAGUGUGUGUGUACAGGUGAGGAACGUCAGUGUGUGUGUGUAUACAGGUGUGGAGAGUCAGUGUGUGUGUGUAUACAGGUGAGGAGCGUCAAUGUGUGGGUACAGGUGAGGGACGUCAGUGUGUGUGGGUACAGGUGAGGAACAGAGUGUGUGUGGGUACAGGUGAGGGACGUCAGUGUGUG
Hypanus sabinus (Atlantic stingray) is the source of this 10563-nucleotide long non-coding RNA. RefSeq lists it as uncharacterized. The transcript has 3 exons. The record is from RefSeq and is a predicted model, not a curated record. NCBI's taxonomy places the organism in Eukaryota, Metazoa, Chordata, Chondrichthyes, Myliobatiformes, Dasyatidae.